RNAcentral lists this ribosomal RNA (466 nucleotides) under uncultured bacterium. Its description in RNAcentral is "bacterial SSU rRNA". It matches the Rfam family "Bacterial small subunit ribosomal RNA", at positions 355 to 825 of the family's 1533-position model. The record is from RNAcentral.
UAGGGAAUAUUGGGCAAUGGAGGGAACUCUGACCCAGCCAUGCCGCGUGCAGGAUGAAGGCGUUAUGCGUUGUAAACUGCUUUUAUAUAGGAAGAAAUAGUCCUUGCGAGGAAAGUUGACGGUACUAUAUGAAUAAGCACCGGCUAACUCCGUGCCAGCAGCCGCGGUAAUACGGAGGGUGCAAGCGUUGUCCGGAUUUAUUGGGUUUAAAGGGUGCGUAGGCGGUUUAUUAAGUCAGUGGUGAAAGACGGUCGCUCAACGAUUGCAGUGCCAUUGAUACUGGUAGACUUGAGUAUGAUUGAGGUAGCUGGAAUGGAUAGUGUAGCGGUGAAAUGCAUAGAUAUUAUCCAGAACACCAAUUGCGUAGGCAAGUUACUAAGUCAUAACUGACGCUGAGGCACGAAAGUGUGGGUAUCAAACAGGAUUAGAUACCCCGGUAGUCCCUGAGCGGGCUGGCAAGGCGCAU